Molecule: ribosomal RNA, 587 nt
Filed under: Ruegeria sp. R8_1
Lineage: Bacteria; Pseudomonadati; Pseudomonadota; Alphaproteobacteria; Rhodobacterales; Roseobacteraceae
Description: partial 23S ribosomal RNA
Rfam family: Bacterial large subunit ribosomal RNA
Source: RNAcentral
GGGGAGCUGAGAAUAAGCUUUGAUCCAUGGAUCUCUGAAUGGGGGAACCCACCUGAAAGUUCAUUAUAAUUACCUCGGUAAUUUAUAAUGUUCUUAACCAGGUACUUUUGACCUGAAUACAUAGGGUCUUAAGAGCAAACCCGGGGAACUGAAACAUCUAAGUACCCGGAGGAAAGGAAAUCAAUUGAUACUCCGCUAGUAGUGGCGAGCGAACGCGGACCAGCCAAGCCUGAUGAGUGACUAGAACCGUUUGGGAAGACGGGCCAUAGUGGGUGACAGCCCCGUAUAGGAAGCUCUGAGGGAUGUAUUAAGUAGGGCGGGACACGUGAAAUCCUGUCUGAAGAUCGGAGGACCACCUUCGAAGGCUAAGUACUCCUUACUGACCGAUAGCGAACCAGUACCGUGAGGGAAAGGUGAAAAGCACCCCGACGAGGGGAGUGAAACAGUACCUGAAACCGAACGCCUACAAUCAGUUGGAGGCCCCUUGAGGGCUGACAGCGUACCUUUUGUAUAAUGGGUCAUCGACUUGGUCUAUCUAGCAAGCUUAAGCCGUUAGGUGUAGGCGCAGCGAAAGCGAGUCUUAAUAG